AGAGUUUGACCAUGGCUCAGAAUCAACGCUGGCGGCGCGCUUAACACAUGCAAGUCGAACGAGAAAGGGGAGCAAUCCCUGAGUAAAGUGGCGUACGGGUGAGUAACACGUGGGUAAUCUACCUUUUGGUGGGGGAUAACGCUGGGAAACCGGCGCUAACACCGCAUGAGCUCGCCAUCGAUAGAUGGUGAGGAAAAGAGAAAUCUGCCGAAAGAGGAGCCCGCGGCUGAUUAGCUAGUUGGUGAGGUAAAGGCUCACCAAGGCAAUGAUCGGUAGCCGGCCUGAGAGGGCGCACGGCCACACUGGCACUGAAACACGGGCCAGACUCCUACGGGAGGCAGCAGUGGGGAAUCUUGCACAAUGGGGGAAACCCUGAUGCAGCGACGCCGCGUGAGUGAUGAAGCCCUUCGGGGUGUAAAGCUCUUUCGGCAGGGACGAUAAUGACGGUACCUGAAGAAGAAGCUGCGGCUAACUACGUGCCAGCAGCCGCGGUAAUACGUAGGCAGCGAGCGUUGUUCGGAGUUACUGGGCGUAAAGAGUGCGUAGGCGGUUUUCUAAGUUUGGUGUGAAAUCUCCCGGCUCAACUGGGAGGGUGCGCCGAAGACUGGGAGGCUAGAGUAUGGGAGAGGUAAGCGGAAUUCCUGGUGUAGCGGUGAAAUGCGUAGAUAUCGGAGGAACACCUGCGGUGUAGACGGCUUACUGGACCAUCACUGACGCUGAGGCACGAAAGCGUGGGUAGCAAACAGGAUUAGAUACCCUAGUAGUCC
RNAcentral lists this ribosomal RNA (767 nucleotides) under uncultured bacterium. RNAcentral describes it as "bacterial SSU rRNA". It matches the Rfam family "Bacterial small subunit ribosomal RNA", at positions 8 to 796 of the family's 1533-position model. The record is from RNAcentral.